GGUUCCGAAUUUAGAAGGUUGAUGGGUCUUGAACCGUGGCUUCUGGAGCUAACGCGUUUAAAUCGACCGCCUGGGGAGUACGGCCGCAAGGUUAAAACUCAAAUGAAUUGACGGGGGCCCGCACAAGCGGUGGAGCAUGUGGUUUAAUUCGAUGCAACGCGAAGAACCUUACCUACUCUUGACAUCCAGCGAAUCCUUUAGAGAUAGAGGAGUGCCUUCGGGAACGCUGAGACAGGUGCUGCAUGGCUGUCGUCAGCUCGUGUUGUGAAAUGUUGGGUUAAGUCCCGCAACGAGCGCAACCCUUAUCCUUUGUUGCCAGCACGUUAUGGUGGGAACUCAAAGGAGACUGCCGGUGAUAAACCGGAGGAAGGUGGGGAUGACGUCAAGUCAUCAUGGCCCUUACGAGUAGGGCUACACACGUGCUACAAUGGCAGAUACAAAGAGAAGCGACCUCGCGAGAGCAAGCGGAACUCAUAAAGUCUGUCGUAGUCCGGAUUGGAGUCUGCAACUCGACUCCAUGAAGUCGGAAUCGCUAGUAAUCGUAGAUCAGAAUGCUACGGUGAAUACGUUCCCGGGCCUUGUACACACCGCCCGUCACACCAUGGGAGUGGGUUGCAAAAGAAGUAGGUAGCUUAACCUUCGGGAGGGCGCUUACCACUUUGUGAUUCAUGACUGGGGUGAAGUCGUAACAAGGGUAACCGACUUU
Molecule: ribosomal RNA, 706 nt
Filed under: Proteus mirabilis
Lineage: Bacteria; Pseudomonadati; Pseudomonadota; Gammaproteobacteria; Enterobacterales; Morganellaceae
Description: bacterial SSU rRNA
Rfam family: Bacterial small subunit ribosomal RNA
Source: RNAcentral